CAGAAGCUGGAGCUUGCUCUGGUGGAUAUAGUGGCGAACGGGUGAGUAACACGUGAGUCAACCUGCCCUUGACUCUGGAAUAAGCGUUGGAAACGACGUCUAAUACCGGAUACGAGCUUCCGCCGCAUGGUGAGGAGCUGGAAAGAAUUUCGGUCAAGGAUGGACUCGCGGCCUAUCAGGUAGUUGGUGAGGUAAUGGCUCACCAAGCCUACGACGGGUAGCCGGCCUGAGAGGGUGACCGGCCACACUGGAACUGAGACACGGUCCAGACUCCUACGGGAGGCAGCAGUGGGGAAUAUUGCACAAUGGGCGCAAGCCUGAUGCAGCAACGCCGCGUGAGGGACGACGGCCUUCGGGUUGUAAACCUCUUUUAGUAGGGAAGAAGCGAAAGUGACGGUACCUGCAGAAAAAGCACCGGCUAACUACGUGCCAGCAGCCGCGGUAAUACGUAGGGUGCAAGCGUUAUCCGGAAUUAUUGGGCGUAAAGAGCUCGUAGGCGGUUUGUCGCGUCUGCUGUGAAAACUGGGGGCUCAACCCCCAGCCUGCAGUGGGUACGGGCAGACUAGAGUGCGGUAGGGGAGAUUGGAAUUCCUGGUGUAGCGGUGGAAUGCGCAGAUAUCAGGAGGAACACCAAUGGCGAAGGCAGAUCUCUGGGCCGUUACUGACGCUGAGGAGCGAAAGCAUGGGGAGCGAACAGGAUUAGAUACCCUGGUAGUCCAUGCCGUAAACGUUGGGAACUAGAUGUAGGGGCCAUUCCACGGUUUCUGUGUCGCAGCUAACGCAUUAAGUUCCCCGCCUGGGGAGUACGGCCGCAAGGCUAAAACUCAAAGGAAUUGACGGGGGCCCGCACAAGCGGCGGAGCAUGCGGAGUUAAUUCGAUGCAACGCGAAGAAC
This 894-nucleotide ribosomal RNA is filed under the name Leifsonia sp. UST050418-516. RNAcentral describes it as "bacterial SSU rRNA". It matches the Rfam family "Bacterial small subunit ribosomal RNA", at positions 67 to 969 of the family's 1533-position model. The record is from RNAcentral. Lineage: Bacteria; Bacillati; Actinomycetota; Actinomycetes; Micrococcales; Microbacteriaceae.